UCAGGGCAUUUAUCUCUAGAAGGUCUCCAGA
RNAcentral lists this non-coding RNA (31 nucleotides) under Rattus norvegicus (Norway rat). The record is from RNAcentral. Lineage: Eukaryota; Metazoa; Chordata; Mammalia; Rodentia; Muridae.